This 54-nucleotide small RNA is filed under the name unclassified sequences. Its description in RNAcentral is "Streptococcus sRNA SpF59 (ldcC RNA)". It matches the Rfam family "Streptococcus sRNA SpF59 (ldcC RNA)". The record is from Rfam by way of RNAcentral.
UGACCGUUCCAUUUUCGGAACCAAGGCCAUACGGACAGCCGGGUCAACUGCCGA